AAGGGAGACCUAAUUCAGGUAAAAGACGAAAAAAAAGUAGUCGCUACCAAGAAUCAAUCCCAAAAGGUCGGAGCGAGGCGAAAUUGGCUUUCAAACUAGGUUCUGGGUUCAAACAAGACCUGAAUCAGGAACAAGGGCUAUUAGCUCAGGUGGUUAGAGCGCACCCCUGAUAAGGGUGAGGUCCCUGGUUCGAGUCCAGGAUGGCCCACCUGCACAGGUGGCAAAAACAAGAGAAGCGAGGAAUCAGCACCUUAUCUUACUUAUAUAGUAAGAGAGAAUGCUGGCUCUGAGUAAAGAGUCCAGAGGAACCUUGAAACCUGCAUAGAGCUAGGUGAAAAAGCCAAAAAAGAAGACCGCAAGGUCAAGCUAAUAAGGGCUAACGGUGGAUACCUAGGCAC
RNAcentral lists this transfer RNA (398 nucleotides) under uncultured Microcystis sp. Its description in RNAcentral is "partial contains 16S-23S ribosomal RNA intergenic spacer, and 23S ribosomal RNA". The stretch from base 135 to 208 matches the Rfam family "tRNA". The record is from RNAcentral. Lineage: Bacteria; Bacillati; Cyanobacteriota; Cyanophyceae; Chroococcales; Microcystaceae.